This 478-nucleotide ribosomal RNA is filed under the name uncultured bacterium. Its description in RNAcentral is "partial 16S ribosomal RNA". It matches the Rfam family "Bacterial small subunit ribosomal RNA", at positions 29 to 523 of the family's 1533-position model. The record is from RNAcentral.
AACAAACGCUGGCGGCGUGCCUAAUACAUGCAAGUCGAACGGGGAAAGCUUUCGGGUGAGUACUAGUGGCGCACGGGUGAGUAACGCGUGGAUAAUCUGCCUUAGAGUGGGGGAUAACUAGUCGAAAGAUUAGCUAAUACCGCAUAAGACCACAAGAACUGCGGUUCAAGGGGUCAAAGGUUUUUCGCUCUAAGAUGAGUCCGCGUAAGAUUAGCUAGUUGGUAGGGUAACGGCCUACCAAGGCGACGAUCUUUAACUGGUCUGAGAGGAUGAGCAGUAACAGUGGAACUGAGACACGGUCCAGACUCCUACGGGAGGCAGCAGUAGGGAAUAUUGCACAAUGGAGGACACUCUGAUGCAGCGACGCCGCGUGAGUGAUGAAGGCCUUCGGGUCGUAAAGCUCUGUAGCAGGGGAAUAACACAAUGAAGGUACCCUGUAAGAAAGGAUCGGCUAACUUCGUGCCAGCCGCCGCCGUAA